GAUGAACGCUAGCUACAGGCUUAACACAUGCAAGUCGAGGGGCAGCACUAGGUAGCAAUACUGAGGUGGCGACCGGCGCACGGGUGCGUAACGCGUAUCCAACCUUCCCGAUACUCUUGGAUAGCCUUCCGAAAGGGAGAUUAAUACAAGAUGGUGUUUCACUUUCGCAUGUUAUUGAAACUAAAGAUUUAUCGGUAUCGGAUGGGGAUGCGUGACAUUAGAUAGUAGGCGGGGUAACGGCCACCUAGUCUACGAUGUCUAGGGGUUCUGAGAGGAAGGUCCCCCACACUGGAACUGAGACACGGUCCAGACUCCUACGGGAGGCAGCAGUGAGGAAUAUUGGGUCAAUGGUCGGAAGACUGAACCAGCCAAGUAGCGUGAAGGAUGAAGGUUCUAUGGAUUGUAAACUUC
This 411-nucleotide ribosomal RNA is filed under the name uncultured bacterium. Its description in RNAcentral is "bacterial SSU rRNA". It matches the Rfam family "Bacterial small subunit ribosomal RNA", at positions 28 to 433 of the family's 1533-position model. The record is from RNAcentral.